UACGUAGGGUGCAAGCGUUGUCCGGAUUUAUUGGGCGUAAAGCGUCCGUAGGCGGUUUUGAAGGUCUGAUGUUAAAGGUUGGAGCUCAACUCCAGUAGGGCAUUGGAAACUACUUAACUAGAGUGCAAUAGGGGAAGCUGGAAUUUCCGGUGUAGCGGUGAAAUGCGUAGAUAUCGGAAGGAACACCAGUGGCGAAAGCGGGCUUCUGGAUUGCAACUGACGCUGAUGGACGAAAGCCAGGGGAGCGAAAGCG
This 253-nucleotide ribosomal RNA is filed under the name uncultured bacterium. RNAcentral's name for it is "partial 16S ribosomal RNA". It matches the Rfam family "Bacterial small subunit ribosomal RNA", at positions 524 to 776 of the family's 1533-position model. The record is from RNAcentral.